GGUAUGUUAGUUCAGUCUGGUUAGAACAAUAGAUUAAUCGUAGGUUCGAAUCCUACACACAUUU
RNAcentral lists this transfer RNA (64 nucleotides) under Flavobacterium sp. Its description in RNAcentral is "tRNA-OTHER". It matches the Rfam family "tRNA". Rfam says of the family: Transfer RNA (tRNA) molecules are approximately 80 nucleotides in length. Lineage: Bacteria; Pseudomonadati; Bacteroidota; Flavobacteriia; Flavobacteriales; Flavobacteriaceae. RNAcentral also lists the same sequence under 2 other names. The record is from RNAcentral.